This 235-nucleotide long non-coding RNA is filed under the name Lathyrus oleraceus (garden pea). RNAcentral's name for it is "Pisum sativum (pea) long non-coding RNA (PSAT_LNC019252)". The record is from RNAcentral. Lineage: Eukaryota; Viridiplantae; Streptophyta; Magnoliopsida; Fabales; Fabaceae.
UAGGGGUGGACAGGAACCGAUGGCCCAACCCAACCCAGGAGUAACCGAAAGAAAAGAUGUAAAUGGGCGGACCCAAACGGUCCAACGGGCCCAACGGGCGAAAAUUGUGGGUUCAAUUGGUUUUAAAUGGGCGGUCCGGGUAGAAAUGACUGGACCGCGGGUACCCUGACCCACCCGAAGCCCAUUUUCCAAAAGAUGUUGUUUUCAUAACUCAGCUCUCAUUUCCCUGUUCCCU